CGGACGUCGCGCGCCACGCGGCGGCGGCGGCCGGAUCGUCGACGGCGGCAAACACGCGCGACCACAGUUCGGCCGGAAGGCGUGCCUGUAGCGGCAGCGUGCGCAGGUCGUCGGCUGUGUCGCAGCACCGAGCGCGCUUGGCCGGACGGUCCCAUGUCUCUUUUGCGCCCCCGUCCGUCAUCGAGCAAGCGUCAACCGAGAAAAAAUGGUGUUUGUCUUCUUGGCGAGAUCGUUGCGAUCUUUGGGAUC
RNAcentral lists this long non-coding RNA (249 nucleotides) under Pandoravirus salinus. RNAcentral's name for it is "putative ncRNA". The record is from RNAcentral.